Molecule: long non-coding RNA, 732 nt
Filed under: Oryza brachyantha (malo sina)
Lineage: Eukaryota; Viridiplantae; Streptophyta; Magnoliopsida; Poales; Poaceae
Description: long non-coding RNA (OBRA_LNC003402)
Source: RNAcentral
UCGUUUUCAAAUAUCCCCUCUGGCUUUUGCGAACAAUCACCUCAUUAGAACUUGCAGUCAACUGUACAUGGCAUUUUGUGGCCAGCCGGCCAAAAUGUCGACGACUUGAUGGAGGUAUUACACAAGUCGCCGGUUAGAGUCAAAAGAAACGGACUCGAUAGACAAAAAGGACUGGCAUGAUUAUGAUUGGAGUCUCUGCUCUGGCAAAGGUUGGCCGAGUUCAGCUAGCUCACGCCGAAUUUCUGAAUAAGGCCUACAAUUUAUAGAAAACUAUUUAGAACUGCAGUAACUCAAUAUUUUAAACAGAUUAACUAGCUUCAAAGUAACAUAUAUAAUCACGAGUCGCUGGGUAAACAAGCCAGGAAAAAGUGUACAUUUUAUACUGGUCAUUACUGCAUAUUAUACUAGGUUCAAGAUAGUUCCAGGAGGUAUAAAAAGGUUAUGACGUAAAGUAGGUGUAACCACUAUAUUUAUAUCACCAAAAUGGAACCUGUAAACAUGAAACGAAGAGUUUAGGGGCUUAACUGUACGAUUUGUUAAAACGAGUGGAGUGUGUGUGUGUGUGUGUAUAUAUAUAUAAAUAAGGCUAGAAGAGUGCAGAGUACAUAGCUCUGAGAACACUACCAUGUCUUACCAGAUGCUCAAUGCUCUUCUCCUCCAAGCACUUCUUAUCGGUACGUAUGCACAUGGUUCACCAUUAUCAUCAUCACCAUUUCGGUUUUUUUUUUUUUU